Molecule: non-coding RNA, 2010 nt
Organism: Salmo salar (Atlantic salmon)
Lineage: Eukaryota; Metazoa; Chordata; Actinopteri; Salmoniformes; Salmonidae
Source: RefSeq, a predicted model, not a curated record
AAGUGGUACUCAUAAAAAUUCUUCAAGGUUUGCAGGUCUGUAUCAGUAAAACAUUCUUGACGAGCAGAAUAAGACAAGUUUCGAUCAUUUUACAGUAAUAUCAUUAUUCAUCAAACUCUUUUACUUCAUUUCCUUUAAUAGCCAUUCAUUAAAGUUUUGGUUAAAAAGUGUGCCUUAUUAAAGUUGAUUAACACUCUUGUAGCUGUAUUAAUAGCUUUUGAGGUUGUUUCUCUGGUUCUCACCUACUUCAGAUACUAGUUUGUAAAUAUAUCCCGGACAUCAACCUCCUGGACUACCUGCCAGAAAUCCUUGAUGGACUCUUCCAGAUCCUAGGGCACAGCAGCACUCCCUGUUCUCCCCUCUCCUUGGGCUGCUACACUCUAUAUCAGACUCUCCAACCCUGUUCCUGGAGAGCUGCUGUCGUCCAAUGACGUGAUCCAGUUGACAGCCAUGACGUGGAUGAGGGAGUUUAUCCAGCUGGCCGGGAGGGCUGUCCUGCCCUACUCUGGCAUCCUGACCGCUGUCCUGCUCUGCCUGCCCUACGAUGACUGCAAAAAAAGUAUCCCCUAAGCCAGCAGGUUCCACGCUUCCCUUCCUCCGCUUCUUUGACGUCUUCCCACCUCUAGAUGGCCAGCCGGGGGUAGGUGUGGCGCCGGAGAUAGCAGUUGUCUGGCUGGAUGAACCAGCUUCAUCGGGGGAUGGGCACCUUGGCACCGGGGGCUCCCAGUCGGAGUCGCAACCACUAGAGGUGUCAGCAGGAGAAAGGGGUAAAGAAGUUGCCUCUUUCGAGGACAGACACAGGAUUCCCUACUCUCAGGCAGUGAUCCAUGAAGCCCAGCAUAUUGCCAGCACCCUUCCUCUGUGUCUUCCAUUGCACCACAAAAGACAGAGUUGAUGGGCUAUAAAAUCCCCAAGGGCACUCUUGUUAUUCCAAACCUCUCGUCUGGGUUGUAUGAGGAGUGUCAGUGGAAGUUCCCUCAUGAGUUCAACCCUUACAGCUUCCUGGAUGAACAGGAAAAGCUGGAGAAACAUGAAUCCUCCAUGCCCUUUUCCGUUGGUGAGAGUUCAUAGAUCUUCACGGAUCCUGUAAUUUGAGUUUGUUCAAUAAUUCCUGUUUCUGAGGUAUUCUGAAACAAAUUGGAUCUGGUCCUUCAAUGGACAUCGUGUGAGGGAGGGUUUUUUGUUUGUCUUCACAGAAUGCACCGAAUGUACAUCUUAUCAGUUCUGAUGUUUAAGUGCCCCGUAUGUGACUAGAAGAGGGACUCACUCGCAUAGAGCUGUUCUGGAUUUUGGUCACUUUGCUGCGACGCUUCCAGUUUGUCUGGCCUGAGGAUGCAGGGGAACCUGACUACUCUGCUUGUCACAAACUGGAUAGAAUGUCAUCUGUCUCUCUACUCUAAAGAGAGUGAAAGCACUCAUUAAAGAAAAUAUGUAUUUGUACAGAUGGACUUGACUAUAUACGGAGCAAAUGUUGUUUACACAAUGCAGUACUCUCAUUAAAGCAAUGUCUGUUUAUUGAGGUCAUUUAAGAGUACAAUUAUUACUUUGAUUACUGAAAUCUAUUAAACUGUGUAGAUAUCUUCAAGGUCAAUGCUUCCCAGAGAAACUAACAUACUGGAGUGUCCUUGAAAGUCUGAUAAGUAAGUAUGACAAAGGUGAAGAUAUGCAGUCAAUUAAAAAUGCUAGUUAAUAAGUGCUGACUGCUGAUAUUGCUUUCCUUGCAUUUCUAAGGGUAUUAAUCAGGCAAGCUUAUUCGUUUGUAUCAAUUAAAUUCUUGGAUUUCACAAGUAUGAACGUCUCAAUUGUGUUCCAGUUUUGUUGUGCCUGUGAGUAUAGGCCAUAGUAGGAUACACAGAUUCAAUAUGGCCCAUCUAGUAGGCUAUGCAGUAUGCACACAGAGACAGCCUUGUAUUUGGAGGAAAAGUUUUGUUUUGUCUUUUGUAUGUUUAACACGCAAGGGUUUUUGUUUGUUGACAUUUUAAUAAAGUUCAAAGUCUGACUUCCCUCCCA